UACGUAGGGUGCAAGCGUUGUCCGGAAUUAUUGGGCGUAAAGAGCUCGUAGGCGGUUUGUCGCGUCUGCUGUGAAAAUCCAGGGCUUAACCCUGGACCUGCAGUGGGUACGGGCAGACUAGAGUGCAGAAGGGGCAACUGGAAUUCUCGGUGUAGCGGUGAAAUGCGUAGAUAUCGAGAGGAACACCUGCGGCGAAGGCGGGUUGCUGGGCUGACACUGACGCUGAUGCGCGAAAGCUAGGGGAGCGAACGGG
This 253-nucleotide ribosomal RNA is filed under the name uncultured bacterium. Its description in RNAcentral is "partial 16S ribosomal RNA". It matches the Rfam family "Bacterial small subunit ribosomal RNA", at positions 524 to 776 of the family's 1533-position model. The record is from RNAcentral.